ACUCCUACGGGAGGCAGCAGUGGGGAAUAUUGCACAAUGGGGGAAACCCUGAUGCAGCCAUGCCGCGUGUGUGAAGAAGGCCUUCGGGUUGUAAAGCACUUUCAGUAGGGAGGAAGGUAGUGUAGUUAACACCUGCACCUAUUUGACGUUACCUACAGAAGAAGCACCGGCUAACUCCGUGCCAGCAGCCGCGGUAAUACGGAGGGUGCGAGCGUUAAAUCGGAAUUACUGGGCGUAAAGCGCAUGCAGGCGGCCUGUUAAGUCAGAUGUGAAAGCCCGGGGCUUAACCUCGGAAUUGCAUUUGAAACUGGCAGGCUAGAGUCUUGUAGAGGGGGGUAGAAUUUCAGGUGUAGCGGUGAAAUGCGUAGAGAUCUGAAGGAA
RNAcentral lists this ribosomal RNA (381 nucleotides) under uncultured bacterium. RNAcentral's name for it is "bacterial SSU rRNA". It matches the Rfam family "Bacterial small subunit ribosomal RNA", at positions 335 to 706 of the family's 1533-position model. The record is from RNAcentral.